UACGUAGGGGGCAAGCGUUAUCCGGAUUUACUGGGUGUAAAGGGAGCGUAGACGGCAUGGCAAGCCAGAUGUGAAAUACCGGGGCUCAACCCCGGGACUGCAUUUGGAACUGUUAAGCUGGAGUGUCGGAGAGGCAGGCGGAAUUCCUAGUGUAGCGGUGAAAUGCGUAGAUAUUAGGAGGAACACCGGUGGCGAAGGCGGAUUGCUGGACAGUAACUGACGCUGAGGCGCGAAAGCGUGGGGAGCAAACAGG
RNAcentral lists this ribosomal RNA (253 nucleotides) under uncultured bacterium. RNAcentral's name for it is "partial 16S ribosomal RNA". It matches the Rfam family "Bacterial small subunit ribosomal RNA", at positions 524 to 776 of the family's 1533-position model. The record is from RNAcentral.